RNAcentral lists this transfer RNA (69 nucleotides) under Marmota monax (woodchuck). RNAcentral describes it as "tRNA.Ala". Lineage: Eukaryota; Metazoa; Chordata; Mammalia; Rodentia; Sciuridae. The record is from RNAcentral.
GUUGUGGGCUCAGUGGUAGAGCACUAGUCUAGCAUGUGAGAGGCCUUGGGUUCUAUCCUCAUCACCACA